Long non-coding RNA from Ictidomys tridecemlineatus (thirteen-lined ground squirrel), 882 nucleotides. RefSeq lists it as uncharacterized. The record is from RefSeq and is a predicted model, not a curated record. Lineage: Eukaryota; Metazoa; Chordata; Mammalia; Rodentia; Sciuridae.
GGCGCAGCUCGCCAGCCAACUCCCGAAGCCUCUGCCGGCUCUGCCCUCCACUUUGUCACCAACCACUUCUCGCGCCCAUCCCCCUUCCUUGCUCAGGGCUCAAUCCGCACAUUUGGAGGCACCCAAACCAGAAGGGGAAGAGAUCCGCAGGGUUCCGAGGCUCUGAGCAGUGCCCGUGCCCGUGUCUGUGCCUCGAGAGCGCUGGCUGCCAGGCUGGGCAACAACAUUGUGUUCCUGUUUCGGCUUCUGCCACCUUGACAGCACAGCUAUUCUGAGAUGGUGCGAAGUGGGGGACGUUUCUGGGUCUCUAGAAAAUCAUCCUAAGGUCCUUUAGCUGUGGCUCAGCAACUCCUAAUCCAUGAUGUGAAUUCACAGCAAGUGCGUGAGGCAAACAUCCAACAAACGUAACACAAAUAAAUACCUUUGAUGUGGCUCAAAGUUCAGUCUCAGAACAUCAAUGCAGCUAAAAUAAACAGACCCGACUCCAGAAAGCCUUGGCAUGAGCGCAGGUCUUCAUUCGCUGACUUUUGACGGAGAGGCGAGAAUCACAUUGUCCAGGUCUGCAGCCAGCAGUCCUCCUGCUCCCUAAAGGUCCAUGGGUCCUGCUUGUCACAAAGCCUGCACCUGUGGUCUCCUUUUCUCCCUCCGCCCCCUGGUCCAGACUCCCACAAACGCCACCCACCGUGCUUGUUCCCUUAUUCCACCGCCCCUCCAAUCCUUCCACCUUGGGGGACCAUCUAUCUCUCUGUGCCCACCAGUUGUCAUGUUCCUCACUCCCUACACAGUUCAGCCCAACAGAGUUCUGUUACCUGCCUGGAAGAACGUCAAGUAUAUACUGUAUGAUAAUGCAAUGUUCAUCAAAUUAAACUGACUUUGUUUGUU